Molecule: ribosomal RNA, 434 nt
Filed under: uncultured Lachnospiraceae bacterium
Lineage: Bacteria; Bacillati; Bacillota; Clostridia; Lachnospirales; Lachnospiraceae
Description: bacterial SSU rRNA
Rfam family: Bacterial small subunit ribosomal RNA
Source: RNAcentral
ACGGAAGGCAGCAGUGGGGUAUAUUGCACAAUGGGGUAAACCCUGAUGCAGCGACGCCGCGUGAGUGAAUAAGGAUUUCGGUAUGUAAAGCUCUAUCAGCAGGGACGAUAAUGACGGUACCUGACUAAGAAGCCCCGGCUAACUACGUGCCAGCAGCCGCGGUAAUACGUAGGGGGCAAGCGUUAUACGGAUUUACUGGGUGUAAAGGGAGCGUAGGUGGCCAUGCAAGUCAGAUGUGAAAACCCGGGGCUCAACCCCGUGACUGCAUUUGAAACUGCGUGGCUGGAGUACAGGAGAGGUAAGCGGAAUUCCUAGUGGAGCGGUGAAAUGCGUAGAUAUUAGGAGGAAAAAGAGUGGCGAAAGCGGCUUACUGGACUGAAACUGACACUAAGGCUCGAAAGAGUGGGGAGCAAACAGGAUUAGAUACCCUGGUA